Cyprinus carpio carpio is the source of this 6592-nucleotide long non-coding RNA. The record is from Ensembl. Lineage: Eukaryota; Metazoa; Chordata; Actinopteri; Cypriniformes; Cyprinidae.
CCUCCUCCGUUCCUUAAAGGGAUAGCCAUCAUUUACUCAUCCUCUUGCCGUUCCAAACCUGAAUGACUUUCUUUCUUCUGUUCUGUGGAACACAAAAUGGAUAUUUUGAAUAAUGUACUAGUCACUGUUUUUACGGAUAAGAUGGAUAAGAACUGAUCAAAGGAAACUAAAGGCCUACUUUGCAGUGCUGAUAAGCUCUCUUUAAGCACAAGAACUAUGUUCAUUUUUGCUGUUUAGAAAGGAGAACAUCUGUUUUAGUUAGUUAAUGUUUUCGGACCACAGAGGAUGUGGUAACGGUUUCAGACACUGUUAUUUAACCACCACAGAAUGUGGCAGGAAACGAUAGCGCUUCGCUGAUGGCAACAAAGAAAUUUUGAGUCAUGAGAGAUCCGAAGUCCAUACACAAGAUCUUCUGGAUCAUGGAAUUUCUGCCUUUCGCUUAAAAUAUAUUUAUGUGUUCUGUUAUAAGGGAGAAAACAAACUUUGCAGGGUCUUCAUGCUCAGUUAUGUGGUACCUGUCCAUAGUAUUUACCUUCACAGUAUAUGGAACCCAUGGUUGUGUGAUAACCAGUCCAGACCAGAAGGCUAAUGCUGGGACAGAUGUCCAUUUGUCGUGUAAUUUCUGGCAAUGUCCUGGACCUCUGGACAUCAUGUCUCUUAGUGUGGAGUGGGAAUUCAAGGAUAUCUCCUCUGAGCCAAAAAUAAUCCUCUACUACAUCAGAAAUCGAACUGUACCACUUCCUGGUGUGUUUUUUCAGGGAGAUGUCGAAUUAGGGAGUUUUGAUAUACAUCUCCCGUCUGUGACCCAUGAGAACAGUGGAACUUAUUUAUGUAGAUUACGUCUCAAUGGCAUUUUUCACAAGAACCAAACACACCUUAUUGUGCAAUCAGCACUGACCAGGAGAAACAAUCCAGGUGUAAAUCAUCUGCAGAAACGUCCUCCCUGGUUGCUGCCCCUGGCCUCAGUGGCAUCAGUGGCUGGGUUUGUGUUACUAAUUGGUACAGUUUUUUGGGGGAGGAAAGCUUACACGUCAACCCAGAGAGAAAACAACUCAAAGCAAAAUAUGGAAGAGGCUAAAACCAGCACUGAUGCUGAAGACAAGGGAAUUAUAUAUAAGGUGGGAUUCAGCAUGCCUGACCUCGCAGACGUGAACAGUCCACCUAGCAGUCCAGAUAACAUCUAUGUUACCAUGCAUGGUUUGCCAUUCGCACCAGAUGUUCCUGCCACAGCUGGACGCAACAGACGUCUUCCCUCUGAUUGGCAGCUGAAGGAUGAGGAACCCGUAUUUGUCCGCUGAUACCAAGAUUUAUUAGUCAGAUCAUGCCACUUGAAAGAUGAGACACAGAAUAAGUGAUUAUUUAAAUUAGUGAGAGUAAGUAUUGUCAGAUAUGCAUUAUAUAGUCCCAAAACAGACUGUUUUGUGUAUUAUUUUUCAAUACUCACCAGCUGUACAUCACUGUACAUUAUCCCUCAUAAUAAAUCUGUUAUUUCCUCAUGCACCUCUUUCAUCAUCUACCAGAUGUCAACAGUGGUCAAUAUAGUUUAGUUACUGCACUUCUUGUGAGCUUCAGCCCUCGACUUUUUCCUAUCUUCUCAAUGACUUCUCAUCAGCAUGAAAUUGCCAAUUCUUCUAACUGUCUCUCUGUCUCUGAAGAGGCAAACAAAAUUGCCCUGCAGUGGAGAAGUGGUUUUAGCAUUACACACUUAAUUAUUCAUGCCAACUGUCCUUUGAGAUUUAAGGAAUCACAGAUCACGAGUUUUGUAAAUCACAAUAAACUAGUUGCUAACCAUUACUGGCAUCAAGGCACACCCUCAAUGAAUGUGCUCUCAUUUCACUAAUCAGAUAAAUAGGCUACACUGCCUACUGUAUAUGGCUAUGUAUAUCUUUAAUAAUCAUCAUCGUAUUUUUCGGCACCAUUCUCAUCCCUUGUGUGCAUUUCCACCUCCUGCUCAUCUCUAGUGCACUUUGAUCUCCAUUAGUGAGGAGAUGAGGAGAGGUUGUCCAACUGCAAGCUAGAGCCUUAUUAUUUGGUUUUGCGUCAACGGCCGUUUGGAUUUUCUUAGGCUGAUUUCUGAUUUUUCUCAAAUUAUGUGACACGUGUAAUAUAAAGAUGCAUUCAGAUUUUUUUUUUUUUUUAAAUCAUGUAAAACUGAUUCAUAUCAUAUUUUAUUUGCUGCUAUUAUAGUAUAUUGUAACAUGGUUCAACUGAACCCGACAAACAACAAUCCACAACCAUACUAUCAACCAGUUUUCCUUCUACAGACACUGCCAGCCAUAUCAUAGCACAAAAUAAAAACAUUUUACGUGUUUUUUUUAGUAUAAUUGAAACGAAAAAAAUAGAUCUCAAAAGCUUUUCUGUUUUUAUUGUCCGCUACGUUUAUUGUCAUCGACCAAAAUGCCUAUUUUAUUGCAUUUUGGGAAAACGCAGUGGGCGUCUUCUUUGAAAUUAUCCUGCGUUGCAUUGAUGGUAUUUCUGGCCUGUCCAGUGAAUUCCAUGGAUGUGCUGGUGCCACCACAGAUCCUCACUCUCAAUGGGACUGAUGUCAGAAUCCCCUGUGCAUUCACUUCAUGCUACAAACUGGACCCCAGCAAGUUUGCCAUGAACUGGACCUAUCAGGAGACAAGCAACAGUACAGAAGAAAUUUUCAUGACCUAUAAGAACAAGAUAACACCCUUGAAGUCGACCCGAUUUGGAGAUCGAGUCAUAUUUUCUGGAAACCUGGAUAAGAACGACCUGAGCAUCACUAUCUCAAAUGUGCAGUUGACAGACGAGGGCAUCUACAACUGCUAUGUGCGCAACCCUCCAGACCGCAUUCGGGGCCACGGCAUCAUUCAGGUCUUCGUCCCGACUGAAUUGCCGCCACCAAGAGAUUCGACCAUUGCUGUUGCCAUUGGGGCAUCUGUGGGGGGAAUUCUAGCUUUGCUCAUUCUGUCCAUGGUAGUGGUGAAGUGUAUUCGCAGACAUAAGAACCAGGAGCUGAUCUCAGAUGAGCAGAAGAUGGAGGAAGAGGGCAAAGCAGAUGGAGAAGGAGGCACAGAAGAAGCAACAAAACAGCCCUAACCGCCAUCUUAGCCCUGGAGGUCUAACGGAUGGUGGAGCUCAAUCCUACACAUUCUGAAAUUUAAGCCUCCUGCCUGAAGAUAUCUAAGACCUUGUUUGACUCUUCAUCCUAUAACGGUCUCAUUCAACAUUCCUCGGUUUUCUCAUGUAGCAGUAGCAUGUCAUAAAGGAAGAUCUCCACCACAGUGCCAUGGUGUCCAGUUACCAGUGAGAAAUCACAAAGGGUUUCAAACUGCCUCUUCCACUCAAUACAACAGGUUAAGGUGAUAACUUCCUGCAGAACUCUUCGUUUAGACCACCCUUUUUUCAAAGUCAAGUAAUGUAUUUUUUUUUCUUCUGCCACUAUUAGCACUAUUAAUAUCAGCCAUCCAGUAUUUCUGCUGAGAAUUUUCUAAAGAGAUGAAUUUUAAAUUAUACAAGGUCCUCUUACAACUGCCAAAGUGUUUUUACCCUUAUGGUGUUUAUACAUUUUAAGAGUUUCUUGAGAAAUCACUGCCCUCAACAACCUCUCAAGUGGAUGUAGAAACAUAACGUGUGUUUGUGUGUGCCUUCUCAUUGUGCCAGUUUGCUUCUGCUGGGUCUAGAAGUUUAUGUUCUUUUUACAGCAGACUAUUAGGCAGGACCAUGACUAUACAUCAGUGUUCAAAAUCUAUAAUUCGUUAGUGUACAGCACAUUGUACACCUCCAAAACAUGUACAAUCAAUGCAUGACAAUUUUCUUAUGCAUGAUACACAAUUUGCACAAAACAAAUCAUCAGUUUGCACAAGCAUCUGGCAUGUUCCACAAAUAGGGUAUAUUUUGCUGUUCCAUGACAUUUUUUUUAAAGUCUUAGAGGCAUUAAUCCUAUGUUGUGUUUUUGGACCUAUUAGAUAUUGCAUAUUUGUUAUCUAACAUGAAACUAAUUUAGCAUGAAAAGUGUUUUUUUUUUUUUGUGUUGGUUUGUUAAUUGGUAAUUUGGACUUCCACCUAAGAGGACUUGGUCUUCAUGACUAUCUAACAAUUAAAAUCACAGAAAAGCAUCAUAAUUUUAAAAGAUGAAAAGUAAAAGUGAGUGAAUUCUUAAUUUCUAAUUAAAUAAUUAAAUUAAAAUGCAUUUUGAGGCCCCAAAAAUAAGCUAGUUUGAAUGUUAAUAAUCUCUAUUUUCCCAAUUCUGAAUAGACAAAAGAUCAAACAAAUAUCAUACUGAGUGGCAGCUUAAUUUAUGCCAAAUUUGUUCCAAUUUGCAAAAAAAAAAAAAAAAAAAAGGAAUUUCAGCUAUUUUACACCCUAUUUAUGGAAAAUGCCAUUUCCAAAACAUUGCUUUCACACAUAAACAUCAUUUCAGGUGCAAUGAUUCGUUAAACAUGAUCUAUUUAUAGAUAAAAGCGAAACAACCUAUACACAAAUUUGAUUGCUAAUAUUAUAGAUUGUGUUUGACAUGUAUGUUGUGGUGUGUUAUUGAGAAUGUGUGAAUUUAUUUUACAUGAGUAUCUUAUUGAACGUAUAAGCUGUGAAAAUAAUUUUGUCAAUACUGAAUUUAUUAACCUCAUAAUCAAAUUUCACACAUAAUCAUAUAAUCUGUUCUGAAAGGCUAAAAUGGUUUUAAAUUGAGUAACAAGCAAAUGAAAGAUAACGGAUUAAUGCGCAUUUAAUGGAAAGAUUAAAAAAAUAAUCAAUUAUGCAUGACAUCAUAUCAUAUUUGUAUGCAUACAGAGGAAAUACAAAACUUUUUUUUUUUUUUUCAUGUGAUGGGAAUCCAUUUUGAUAGUGAAACACAGUGAUUGUGAACUUUCAGUGGACUCGUGGUAAUAGACUGCAGACUGUGUAGUAGAUUAUGUAGGGAAUGGGGCAGGUCCCCUACAUACCUUCUGCUAAAUCAAACAAUUUCAACAAUUUUCAGAAUAGCCUCAGUAUUAUUACAGCAUAUUUUGUGCUAUGGUCAGGAAAUGUGAGUAUUAAAUAGUUCUAUUUGAUUAAAAAAUAAAUAUAUCAAAAUAUAUAUAAUAUGUUUGUAUAUUGUAAUCUUCUAUGAUGUCGAAAAGUAGCAGUAUAUGUCUAAUUUAAAUAUUCUGUAUAUUUAAAUUGAAAAAAAAGACAGUAUCAUAGAGAUGUAUGCUCAUUUACAAAUGGUUUUGUUCUACAAAAUGUUCUGAUAUAAAACCUCAUACAAGAUAGACAGUAUUUGUAUGCAGACCAUAGGAGUAAAGUAUUCCAGCACUUAAUUCACCAUGUAUGAUUACUUAGUGUGCAUGCUGUAACACUGCAUUCUUGCUGCACAGGCCCAAAGCCUGGAGCCACAGUGAUACAUAGGCCAGGGAGCCUCACCCUCUGCUGGGCAAAGCCGACACCCACACUGGCUUCUGUUUACUCACACUUUAACUCACUCAGUCCCCUUCUGACUGGCUUAUUUUAUUAAUUUUUUAACUGACAUAUGUGUUAUGUUACACUUCCACAUCCUAUUGUACUCCAAUACAUAUUUAAUAAAUCAAAUUAUAUUGCUUGUUGUUAUAUGAAAAUGUACUUUGAAGGAUUGCUGUGAUACCUCUAAAAUGUUGCUCCAUUUUGACCUCAAAUUCAUUGUAGGGAAUGUAUCUAUUAUUAUUGUUCAUUUGAAUGUUUAAUUCAGUAAUGCUUUAUUGUAUUAUGAACCAAAACUGAGAUUUGCAUAUUGUGUAAUCAUAACUGUUAACUGUUAUUGCUAUGUAUUCAAUGAUAAUCAUGUAUUCAAUGACACUCAGUUACACAUGUACAUUGUAUUUUUACCACCGUGUUUUGCAUUAGAUAUUUGCAUAAUGUGAGCGACAUCAGGCAUCCACAAGAUGUUAAAAAAGGCUCCUAAAGGAUAUAAUAAAACCAUUAAGCUCAUAAUUUGAUUUGCUGCACAGCAGUUAACAUUAAGCCAGCUUCUGAAAUCCAGACUGAGGCUUAAUGAUUUUAUGGCUAGCGCUUUAGUGGUUGCCAUUCAUAGGUUUAGUUGCCAGGAAACAUGACUCCAAAUCCCUGAUUAUCUAGCCUGAUAUUAUACUGAAGGUGAAUUGUAUCAUCACAUAUAUAAUGCAACCAUGAUUGUACUGCCUUGAUGUUUUGUUUCUGUUUUGCAUUUGCCUUCAAGAUUUCAUUUGUACAUCAAGAUCAUUCAAACAUAACAUUUAUGUGGGCAUAAAAAAAUAACAGCAGUCCAGCGAGGUUGGUUGGAAUGGUUUGGGGACCAGUUUUUGCUUUAUUUUUUUCAUCAUGCAUGCCUCUGUUUAGUGUCUCGCUGAAGGUCUGACUCUGGCCUACUUUAAAUACAUACUGUAUACUUGCACUGCACCAUAACUAAGAGCUGCAUCACUGAUUGUUUUUUUUUAGUUUUGGUUUUGUCUUUUCAAUAAAAACAAAGAAACAACGCAUUUUGGUUCUGCCUCUUUUUAAAUCUAAAAAUGUUUUAUUAAUUAAAAGUAAUAAUAUUCAAAGAGAUAGUUCCCUCAAAAAUGUAUUAAUUUACUCUCUCUCGUCAUGUUCAAAACCCAUGACUUACUUUCUUCUGUGGAAAUCAAAUGAAGAUGAC